This 253-nucleotide ribosomal RNA is filed under the name uncultured prokaryote. Its description in RNAcentral is "partial 16S ribosomal RNA". It matches the Rfam family "Bacterial small subunit ribosomal RNA", at positions 524 to 776 of the family's 1533-position model. The record is from RNAcentral.
UACGGAGGGUGCAAGCGUUAUCCGGAUUUACUGGGUUUAAAGGGUGCGUAGGUGGGUUUGUAAGUCGGUGGUGAAAUCCCCGAGCUUAACUCGGGAACUGCCAUUGAUACUAUAGAUCUUGAAUAUCCUGGAGGUGAGCGGAAUAUGUCAUGUAGCGGUGAAAUGCUUAGAUAUGACAUAGAACACCCAUUGCGAAGGCAGCUCACUACGGGAUUAUUGACACUGAGGCACGAAAGCGUGGGGAUCAAACAGG